AGAUCACCGAGCUGACUCUUGAGAAGCUGUCAGUGUUACUGCAGAUGGCUUUGGCUCUUCAUUCACAUUCUCGGAUUCUUCUGCUGCUAGCUAGAAGGAGGAAAAUAGCUACUGAUGCUAAGAAAAUAAAAAAAGGCAAAAUAUCCUCUAAGCUAAAGGAGAGAACACUUUCAAAAGCAAGCACAGGCCCAGGAUUAUCAACUGUGUCAACAGGAGGACAAAAAGGUGAAGUUGAUGGCAUUUUUCUUAUUUUCCUGUGUUAUAGGCAUGGAUUAUCUUCAGUCAUCUUGAAUUUUAUCCAUCACUGGAAAGAUUCUCUUGGACUGCAUGAGCUUUAGUGUCUUUUCUGAUAGGAACACACGAUUGACAAGCAUGCAUUUGCCAUCACAGAGCACACGCUGAUUUCGGGCAGAAAUGACAAGAGCCUCGACUUCAGUCUCUGUGAAGGGCAGGACCCCAAGAAAGGUCCAGCUUGCUUUGCAUGGUGGAGAAUUGCUCGUCAGUGCUUCCACCUCCUUUUUCCUAAGAGUUUCGAUGUCAUCUCGUUACAAAGGCCACUCGGGUUGGCACUUUCACCACCCU
RNAcentral lists this long non-coding RNA (582 nucleotides) under Fukomys damarensis (Damara mole-rat). RNAcentral's name for it is "lncRNA (ENSFDAG00000030283.1)". The record is from RNAcentral. Lineage: Eukaryota; Metazoa; Chordata; Mammalia; Rodentia; Bathyergidae.